GACGAACGCUGGCGGCGUGCUUAACACAUGCAAGUCGAACGAUGAAGCUAGAGCUUGCUCUGGUGAAUUAGUGGCGAACGGGUGAGUAACACGUGAGUAACCUGCCCCGAACUCUGGGAUAACUGCUGGAAACGGUAGCUAAUACUGGAUACGACCUACGAAGGCAUCUUCUGUAGGUGGAAAGAAUUUCGGUUCGGGAUGGACUCGCGGCCUAUCAGCUUGUUGGUGAGGUAAUGGCUCACCAAGGCGACGACGGGUAGCCGGCCUGAGGGGGGGACCGGGCACGCUGGGACUGUGACACGGCCCAGCCUCCUACGGGAGGGAGCAGUGGGGAGUAUUGCACCAUGGGCGCAAGCCUGAUGCAGCAACGCCGCGUGAGGGAUGACGGCCUUCGGGUUGUAAACCUCUUUUAGUAGGGAAGAAGCGAAAGUGACGGUACCUGCAGAAAAAGCACCGGCUAACUACGUGCCAGCCGCCGCAGUAA
Molecule: ribosomal RNA, 484 nt
Filed under: uncultured bacterium
Lineage: Bacteria
Description: partial 16S ribosomal RNA
Rfam family: Bacterial small subunit ribosomal RNA
Source: RNAcentral